RNAcentral lists this ribosomal RNA (449 nucleotides) under uncultured bacterium. RNAcentral's name for it is "partial 16S ribosomal RNA". It matches the Rfam family "Bacterial small subunit ribosomal RNA", at positions 29 to 523 of the family's 1533-position model. The record is from RNAcentral.
AAUGAACGCUGGCGGCAGGCCUAACACAUGCAAGUCGAACGGAUCCUUCGGGAUUAGUGGCGGACGGGUGAGUAACGCGUGGGAACAUACCCAAAGGUACGGAAUAGCCUCGGGAAACUGGGAGUAAUACCGUAUGUGCUCGAAAGAGGAAAGAUUUAUCGCCUUUGGAUUGGCCCGCGUUGGAUUAGGUAGUUGGUGGGGUAAUGGCCUACCAAGCCGACGAUCCAUAGCGGGUUUGAGAGGAUGAUCAGCCACACUGGGACUGAGACACGGCCCAGACUCCUACGGGAGGCAGCAGUGGGGAAUCUUAGACAAUGGGGGAAACCCUGAUCUAGCCAUGCCGCGUGAUCGAUGAAGGCCUUAGGGUCGUAAAGAUCUUUCAGGUGGGAAGAUAAUGACUGUACCACCAGAAGAAGCCCCGGCUAACUCCGUGCCAGCCGCCGCAGUAA